Molecule: ribosomal RNA, 262 nt
Filed under: uncultured archaeon
Lineage: Archaea
Description: partial 16S ribosomal RNA
Rfam family: Archaeal small subunit ribosomal RNA
Source: RNAcentral
UAGCCGUAAACGAUACUCGCUAGGUGUCGGCCACGGUGCGACCGUUGUCGGUGCCGUAGGGAAGCCGUGAAGCGAGCCACCUGGGAAGUACGGCCGCAAGGCUGAAACUUAAAGGAAUUGGCGGGGGAGCACCGACAACGGGUGGAGCUUGCGGUUUAAUUGGAUUCAACGCCGGAAAUCUUACCGGGACCGACAGCAACAUGAAGGCCAGGCUGAAGACUUUGCCGGAUUAGCUGAGAGGAGGUGCAUGGCGUAGUCGUGU